Molecule: ribosomal RNA, 274 nt
Filed under: uncultured bacterium
Lineage: Bacteria
Description: partial 16S ribosomal RNA
Rfam family: Bacterial small subunit ribosomal RNA
Source: RNAcentral
UCCUAGCCGUAAACGAUGGGCACUAGGUGUAGGGAGUUAUUGAUGCUCUCUGUGCCGCAGCUAACGCAUUAAGUGCCCCGCCUGGGGAGUACGGCCGCAAGGCUAAAACUCAAAGGAAUUGACGGGGGCCCGCACAAGCGGUGGAGCAUGUGGCUCAAUUCGAUGCAACGCGAAGAACCUUACCAGGGCUUGACAUGCUUCUGAAAGUCCUUGGAAACUUGGACCCUCUGCCUUUGGCAGACAGUUGCACAGGUGGUGCAUGGUUGUCGUCAGC